Molecule: ribosomal RNA, 1680 nt
Filed under: Triticum aestivum (bread wheat)
Lineage: Eukaryota; Viridiplantae; Streptophyta; Magnoliopsida; Poales; Poaceae
Description: partial small subunit ribosomal RNA
Source: RNAcentral
AUGGCGGAACCGCCGCCGCCGCCGCUCCCCCAGCGCAUGCCCCUCCUCCCCCUCCCGCUCCCUCAGGCUAACUACUCCUCGAAGGAUCCGCCGCUCCCCCAGCCUUUGCCGACGCCGAAGGUUCCGCCGCUCCCCGAGCCCCAGCCUAUGGAGGCACCGCCGACGGCGCCGCUCCCCCAGCCCCGGCCUCCGCCGCCUCCCGUCGUGGCCCUGCUUCCCUCCCUCCCGACCUCCGCGGCUUCAACUGCCUUAGCCCAACUAGCAGCGCCGACCUCUCCCCGCGACCAUGUCGCGCAGAACCCUAGAGUCGGGGAUUCCAGCGAUGUGGAGAGCGGGUCAGGGAUGUCCACGGUCGAGGCCCUCCAAAAGAUCAUUCCGUACGUGGGCACACUCGUUGCAGCUCCUCUGCCCCAAGUUUCCAAGCUCCAUGAGGACGGCGUGGCUGACGAAUGCGGCUCCACCUCUCUCUCUCAUAUUUGUGCUAGAAACGGUAAUCUGAUCAUCAAACAAUCUGACCCAAGUGAUAGUGUUGAUGUGCAUUUUACUCCAUUGAAUCAAACACCAUCUAUAGCACUGCCUAGUCAAGCAAGUAAUGUAAAUGAUGAAGCUAAAGUAUGCCUUAUGGAUACAUAUCUUGCAAAUCCACAUGAAGAAUAUGAACAUGUUGGUGUAGAUGAGGAGGACCAAUACUCAAUUGAUAGUGCUGGUUCAGAUAGUGAUGAUGAGCUCGGAGAAAAAAAAGAUAUACCAAAUAGUGAGCAUGUAGAGGAUAGCAGCGAUGACGAGGAGUGGGUUACGGAAGAUGCUAGACCAGAUGUUAUUCCAGAAAUAGUGUAUGAUAAAGAAAACCCACCAAUGCAUGUUGGUGCAAAGUAUCCUAAUAUUGAAGAGUUUAGGUUGGCAAUUGCUACAUAUGCCAUAAAGAAAGAGUUUGAUUUUCAAGUUGACAAAAGUGAGCCUACACGAUUCAGGGCUCAUUGUCGCGAGUCUAAAGAUUGCACAUGGAGAAUUCAUGUUGGGACGUUGGAUGAUGGAGAAACUAUGGAGGUCAAGGUUCAUUUGGAGAAGCACACAUGUGCUAGUACAAAGAAAAAAAAGGAGCAGCAUAAUGCUUCAAAGGCAUGGGUGUGUGAGAAAGUCAUAGACUGGAUAAAAGAAGAUCCUAGUGUUCGCCCAAAGGAGUUACAGAGGAGGCUACAUGACAAGUACAAGAUCGAGAUCAGUUAUACAAAACUCAUGGACAAGAUCAAGAGGAAGAUUACCGUUAAGCAUGAGAAGAGGAGAAGGGUUGCUAGGAAAUUGCAAGGUCGACGUAUACUUCCAAGUGUCAUGAAUGAGCUGAAUGAAAAAAGUAGGGGGCUAGACAUUGAAUAUGAGAGAAUAGAUGACAUGAUUGCAGAGGUUGCCGAGGACAAAAGAAAGAAAAAACCCAUUACAAAGGUUGUUCUUCCAUGUUCAAUUGAAACUGAAACUGCACUGCCUCUACUUCUAUGUCCGAGUGAUGCAAUUGAAGACAAUGUCGCCAAGUCGAAAUCAUCAAAGACUACCUCCAAAUCUACAAGAUCAAAGGCCAUAUCUGUUGCGCCUGACAGCCCUGCAAUGGGCACUCGAAGCAGGAGGAGUGUUGCACCUGACAGCCCUGCAAUGAGCACUCGAAGCAAGAAGAAGCUGAAACUGUGA